RNAcentral lists this long non-coding RNA (389 nucleotides) under Carica papaya (papaya). RNAcentral describes it as "long non-coding RNA (CPAP_LNC006606)". Lineage: Eukaryota; Viridiplantae; Streptophyta; Magnoliopsida; Brassicales; Caricaceae. The record is from RNAcentral.
AAAGCAAAGUGCUGAUUCAUGGGGGAGCACGGGAGUUUGUGAAGUACGGUAAAUAGAGGCUUGAUAUGGGUUGCAGGGUCAGAAAUGGCUCUUGGAGACUCCAGAUGGUCCACAUGAUGUGGGAUUGUGGAUAGAAAAUUUGCAUGGGGAAAGGGAUGUCAAGGAGUAUAUAAGAUGGGAGAUUAAAGUUGGGGGAAAAGAGUGAGAUUCUGGAAGGAUGAAUGGAUGGAGUGGGGGCUCAUUAUCUCAACAUUUCUCAACAUCUUUUUUGCUGCUGCCAGAAGUGAGGAGGUCACAGUUAGGCGAUCCUUGGCAGGUUCCAGAGGUAAUGAGGUGUGGUGUAUGGAAUUGAUAAGGAAACUGAAAUAUUAGGAGAUUGCAGAAUAUAU